RNAcentral lists this ribosomal RNA (424 nucleotides) under uncultured bacterium. RNAcentral's name for it is "bacterial SSU rRNA". It matches the Rfam family "Bacterial small subunit ribosomal RNA", at positions 355 to 776 of the family's 1533-position model. The record is from RNAcentral.
UGAGGAAUAUUGGUCAAUGGACGAGAGUCUGAACCAGCCAAGUAGCGUGAAGGAUGACUGCCCUAUGGGUUGUAAACUCCUUUUAUAUGGGAAUAAAGUAUUCCACGUGUGGGAUUUUGUAUGUACCAUAUGAAUAAGGAUCGGCUAACUCCGUGCCAGCAGCCGCGGUAAUACGGAGGAUCCGAGCGUUAUCCGGAUUUAUUGGGUUUAAAGGGAGCGUAGGUGGAUUGUUAAGUCAGUUGUGAAAGUUUGCGGCUCAACCGUAAAAUUGCAGUUGAAACUGGCAGUCUUGAGUACAGUAGAGGUGGGCGGAAUUCGUGGUGUAGCGGUGAAAUGCUUAGAUAUCACGAAGAACUCCGAUUGCGAAGGCAGCUCACUAGACUGCAACUGACACUGAUGCUCGAAAGUGUGGGUAUCAAACAGG